This 140-nucleotide ribosomal RNA is filed under the name uncultured bacterium. RNAcentral's name for it is "partial 16S ribosomal RNA". It matches the Rfam family "Bacterial small subunit ribosomal RNA", at positions 355 to 511 of the family's 1533-position model. The record is from RNAcentral.
UGGGGAAUCUUGCACAAUGGGCGAAAGCCUGAUGCAGCAACGCCGCGUGAGGGACGAAGGCUUUCUGAGUUGUAAACCUCUUUCAGCAGGGACGAUUGUGACGGUACCUGCAGAAGAAGCCCCGGCCAACUACGUGCCAG